AUGGAGACACAGAUCGAAAACUUUUUGGAACAGUUCAAGCUGAGCUCCGCGCGAGCAAUGGAGGAGUUUGAGAUGAAACGAAGCUCAACCUUAGGACUCUCCCUGACUGGAUUAUCAGGAACAGGCGAUGGCACCUCAACCUCCGAGUCUGAUUGCAUGAAACGAAUCCAUAAUCCGAACAGCCGAGACCCACUUUUCUCGUAGUUCAAGUGCGAUUUAGACCAAUCUGAUUAUGUAAGUACCCUCGCGUCGAUGUUGAACAUCGCAUAAACCCGCAUUUUUUCAGCAUAGAACUGGUCGAUGAAAAUAGUUGUUCAGUCCGACUUUCAAUUGGACGUAUUUCUAUCAAACAGAACUAUGUGCAUUAUGAUGUGAGCCCUGUUAAGCAUAUAUUCUUAUGGGUCUCAGGGCUCAUGUCUUAAUGCACAUAGUUCCGUUUGACAGAAAUACGUCCAAUUGGACGUAUUUCUAUCAAACAUACCUAUGUGCAAGUGAGAAAUGUGGGGUGUGCUCGUUAGUUCUCUGGCCGUAAGAGUGAAUGAGAAUAAUGAAACGCCAGUGACGUCAGCGGCGAUAAGAAACCGUCGCCGUUGUAGCUCGUGGGCUGCAUUAACUCAUGAGCCCUGCCCACAACGCUCUUGUGCUAUCCUCGCGGCUCAUGAAUCCCGCAUUCAGUUGGCACAUAGGUCUGUUUGAUAGAAUGCAAUAUCCCGCUUUUCCAAUUCUUCAAAAGGAUUCACGCACACUUUUACAUUUCUUCUUAUGCAGCUUCCACGAGCACACCCCAUAUUUCUCACCUGCACAUAGGUUUGUUUGGUAGAAAUACGUCCAAUUUGUAUUCGACCUCGCUUGGCACGUCUCUUUGUAUCGAAAAAAAUUGGGCUUUUACUUCCUUGUACCUAAAAGUUUUGAGCCAUCCGGUACCAGGAAAAUGUAAUUUAUUGUUAGUUUCAAUGAGCAUGAUACUUGAAUUUUAUUGAGUACCUAAAAUCUCGAAUCAAAGGUGGAUUUUGCAACAUACAUUGUACUCUCUUCUACAGUGAUGAACUAUAUAUUCAGCAGGGCAAUGGUUGCAUGAAAUUUUGUCUUCGCUGGGACACAGUAAGAGA
Molecule: long non-coding RNA, 1109 nt
Filed under: Bemisia tabaci
Lineage: Eukaryota; Metazoa; Arthropoda; Insecta; Hemiptera; Aleyrodidae
Description: lncRNA ENSSSA1NGG008835
Source: RNAcentral